RNAcentral lists this ribosomal RNA (257 nucleotides) under uncultured microorganism. Its description in RNAcentral is "partial 16S ribosomal RNA". It matches the Rfam family "Bacterial small subunit ribosomal RNA", at positions 9 to 238 of the family's 1533-position model. The record is from RNAcentral.
GAGUUUGAUCGUGGCUCAGGAUGAACGCUGGCGGCGUGCUUAACACAUGCAAGUCGAACGGGGUUAUGAAGUGUGAGGAGUCAGCUUGCUGGUGACGAACAGUUCAUAACUUAGUGGCGGACGGUGAGUAACGCGUGGGUAACCUGCCAUAUACAGGGGGGAUAACACUUAGAAAUAGGUGCUAAUACCGCAUAAGCGCACGGAGCUGCUAUGGCUCAGUGUGAAAAACUCCGGUGGUAUAUGAUGGACCCGCGUCU